This 253-nucleotide ribosomal RNA is filed under the name uncultured bacterium. RNAcentral's name for it is "partial 16S ribosomal RNA". It matches the Rfam family "Bacterial small subunit ribosomal RNA", at positions 524 to 776 of the family's 1533-position model. The record is from RNAcentral.
UACGUAGGGGGCAAGCGUUAUCCGGAUUCACUGGGUGUAAAGGGAGCGUAGACGGCCAUGCAAGCCUGGAGUGAAAGCCCGGGGCCCAACCCCGGGACUGCUCUGGGAACUGUGCGGCUGGAGUGCGGGAGGGGCAAGCGGAAUUCCUGGUGUAGCGGUGAAAUGCGUAGAUAUCAGGAGGAACACCGGCGGCGGAGGCGGCCUGCUGGACCGCGACUGACGUUGAGGCUCGAAAGCGUGGGGAGCAAACAGG